GAAAUUAUCAUACCAUUCGUACGGGUUCUCCACUUAUGAGGGAUACAGCUUUAAGUCAUUCUCAGAAUGCUAAGGUAAUGCAAACUUCUUUGUACAGAAAACAGAAAAAUCCACAAAACCAAAAUUGGACUACAGAUUUACAUACAAUAUGGAUUAUUCAUAUGUACUAGAGAAUCUAUAUUAUAUAUAUUCGCUGUUCAUCCAAAUGUCUCGAAGGAGUUCAUAUCUGACAGCACUUUGAUUGUUAUUUCCCUUGGAAAUCCGGCUGGGUCUUGUAGGAACAGGGGAAGACCGAGAACUGCUAAUAAAGAUUGAAGCCAAAGGAGAAUUCAGUUCAUCCAGCUCAUCAUCACUUGUGUAGGAUUUUCUAACCACCGAGGAUCCACUUCUUCUCAGCUGAGAAUUACUUCCAAAAUCUCCAAUGGAACUGGCAGCAGAAUCAGCUGAAGGUGGUGUAUAG
Molecule: long non-coding RNA, 460 nt
Filed under: Citrus maxima (pomelo)
Lineage: Eukaryota; Viridiplantae; Streptophyta; Magnoliopsida; Sapindales; Rutaceae
Description: long non-coding RNA (CMAX_LNC000603)
Source: RNAcentral